UGCUAGGAGAGAUAACAGGAAAUUUGAA
Molecule: small RNA, 28 nt
Filed under: Bombyx mori (domestic silkworm)
Lineage: Eukaryota; Metazoa; Arthropoda; Insecta; Lepidoptera; Bombycidae
Description: piRNA piR-bmo-2033867
Source: RNAcentral